Molecule: long non-coding RNA, 157 nt
Organism: Prionailurus viverrinus (fishing cat)
Lineage: Eukaryota; Metazoa; Chordata; Mammalia; Carnivora; Felidae
Exons: 2
Source: RefSeq, a predicted model, not a curated record
GCAGCCCCAGUCCCGGGAGUCCCAGGUGUUCCCAUUCUAGAUCAGGACAUAACAGACACCUCACCAUGGAGUUUGUGUUUGGCUGGGUGUUCCUGGUUAAUCUUUUAAGAGGUGUCCAGUGUGACGUGCAGCUGGUGGAGCCUGGAGGAGACCUGGU